AUGGAGAGGGUGGAUGCAGACACAUGCGUAAUCACCAUAGAUGAAGGGCGUUCAAUCAAGUUCACAGCAGCUGAUGUCAACAAUGUUUUUGGGUUUCCAAUAGGUGGGAAAAGGAUAUCAUCAUAUCCAUGUGACUUGUCGGAGGCAUGCAUUGAGUACAAGAAAUUUGCAGAAGAGCUUAGUGACAAGGGAACACAUAGCCUAAAAGCUGUAGAGGCCAUAAUGUUGAAAGACAUCCAGGAAGACUCGCCUAGCAUCGCCAUAGAGAUGUUCAAAAUUGCCGCUGUCAUUUUUAUUUUCGGGCAUUUGCUAUGUCCUUCGUCGAAGAAUGACUACACCAGCGUAGACUACUGGGGUGCACUGAACACAACUUUAGAGAUCAGUCAAUUUGAUUGGUGUGAAUUUGUCAUCGAGCACCUGUUAAGCGCUGUCCGAAAGCUGAAGACUGAUCUUCAGACAUGGCACUCAACUAUACAUCUUGUGGGUUGCCAUCUGUUCCUACAGGUUUUUGUGCUCGACAAUUUGGACCUGGGUCAGCUAACUCCUCGAGACCCUUCGACGCCCAGGGUCUGUGUUUUCGAUUAUGACAUCACCCGCAAGAUGAUAGAGGCGCUCAGUUGCAGUCAACGGUUACUCUCGCAUUUACAUAAUGCGGCAUCCCUCACCAAACCGGUUGCUCGGCCAGAAGAGCCACAUGUUCAGGACACCAGAUCAAAUGCUACAAGGUACAAUUCAAGCGCGGCACCCAACUCAAACAGGCAGGGCACAGCUAGGAAAGGCCCUGCUGACUUUGCAAACCAUCUUCGUGCCCGGUAUCCGAGCCUUUUCUCACACCCGGUAGCAAUUUAUCUGAGAGAACACAAUGCUCGUGCCAUGCGCAACAUGUUCGAAUUGCAGCAGGCAUCAUGCGACGUGAUGGUUGCUUUUGCAGACAAGAUAAUGAUUAGUUUAGCCGAUGGGUUUUACCGAGUAACUUCAACACCCCUGGGCAUGAAACUCAUGCAUUGCGAGACAUUGCAAUUGCUGGUGCAUCACAUACACCUGUCAAUGUCCCACCAAUCCGUUCUUUGGGUGCUAGCUUGCCGCCUGCAGUACAUGCGGAUGCUUGCUUGA
Molecule: ribosomal RNA, 1113 nt
Filed under: Triticum aestivum (bread wheat)
Lineage: Eukaryota; Viridiplantae; Streptophyta; Magnoliopsida; Poales; Poaceae
Description: partial small subunit ribosomal RNA
Source: RNAcentral